Molecule: ribosomal RNA, 465 nt
Filed under: uncultured bacterium
Lineage: Bacteria
Description: bacterial SSU rRNA
Rfam family: Bacterial small subunit ribosomal RNA
Source: RNAcentral
UCAGUCGACUCCUACGGGGAGGCAGCAGUGAGGAAUAUGGUCAAUGGGCGCAAGCCUGAACCAGCCAUGCCGCGUGCAGGAGACUGCCCUAUGGGUUGUAAACUGCUUUAUACAGGAAGAACACUCGGACGUGUCCGAGCUUGACGGUACUGUAAGAAUAAGGAUCGGCUAACUCCGUGCCAGCAGCCGCGGUAAUACGGAGGAUCCAAGCGUUAUCCGGAAUCAUUGGGUUUAAAGGGUCCGUAGGUGGAUUAGUAAGUCAGAGGUGAAAGCCUGCAGCUCAACUGUAGAACUGCCUUUGAUACUGCUAGUCUUGAGUCAUUAUGAAGUGGUUAGAAUGUGUAGUGUAGCGGUGAAAUGCAUAGAUAUUACACAGAAUACCGAUUGCGAAGGCAGAUCACUAAUAAUGUACUGACACUGAUGGACGAAAGCGUGGGGAGCGAACAGGAUUAGAUACCCUGGUAG